GACGAACGCUGGCGGCGUGCCUAACACAUGCAAGUCGAACGGAGAGGUUAUGAACAAGACUUCGGUCAAGUGAGUAAUUUUCUUAGUGGCGGACGGGUGAGUAACGCGUGAGCAAUCUGCCUCUCAGUGGGGGACAACAGUUGGAAACGACUGCUAAUACCGCAUAAUGUAUUCGGAAGGCAUCUUCUGAAUACCAAAGCUUUAUGUGCUGAGAGAUGGUCUCGCGUCUGAUUAGCUAGGUGGCGGGGUAACGGCCCACCAUGGCGACGAUCAGUAGCCGGUCUGAGAGGAUGAACGGCCACAUUGGGACUGAGACACGGCCCAGACUCCUACGGGAGGCAGCAGUGAGGGAUAUUGGUCAAUGGGGGAAACCCUGAACCAGCGACGCCGCGUGAGGGAAGACGGUUUUCGGAUUGUAAACCUCUGUCUUUGGGGACGAAUAAAUGACGGUACCCAAGGAGGAAGCUCCGGCUAACUACGUGCCAGCAGCCGCGGU
RNAcentral lists this ribosomal RNA (496 nucleotides) under uncultured bacterium. RNAcentral describes it as "bacterial SSU rRNA". It matches the Rfam family "Bacterial small subunit ribosomal RNA", at positions 28 to 521 of the family's 1533-position model. The record is from RNAcentral.